Molecule: non-coding RNA, 66 nt
Organism: Trichinella pseudospiralis
Lineage: Eukaryota; Metazoa; Nematoda; Enoplea; Trichinellida; Trichinellidae
Source: Rfam
UUGAUUGUAUGACGAAUGCGGCAGAAACCAUCCAGAGGUGGCAGCAUUCUGAUGUUUUCCGAUCAA